Molecule: ribosomal RNA, 254 nt
Filed under: uncultured bacterium
Lineage: Bacteria
Description: partial 16S ribosomal RNA
Rfam family: Bacterial small subunit ribosomal RNA
Source: RNAcentral
UACGUAGGGUGCGAGCGUUGUCCGGAAUUAUUGGGCGUAAAGAGCUCGUAGGCGGUUCGGUAAGUCGGAUGUGAAAUCUCCACGCUCAACGUGGAGGGGCCAUUCGAUACUGCCGUGACUCGAGUCCGGUAGGGGAGUGUGGAAUUCCCGGUGUAGCGGUGAAAUGCGCAGAGAUCGGGAGGAACACCCGUAGCGAAGGCGGCACUCUGGGCCGGUACUGACGCUGAGGAGCGAAAGCGUGGGGAGCGAACAGG